GCUGGGUGCGGUGGCGCACACCUGUAACCCAGCUCCUCAGGAGGCUAAGACAGGAAGAUCAAAAGUUGAAGGCCAGCCUCAAUAACUUAGUUAGGCCCUGUCUCAA
This 106-nucleotide small RNA is filed under the name Marmota monax (woodchuck). The record is from RNAcentral. Lineage: Eukaryota; Metazoa; Chordata; Mammalia; Rodentia; Sciuridae.